GGGGAUGUAGCUCAGUGGUAAAGCACAUGACUAGCAUGUAUGAGGCCCUGGCUUCCAUCCCCA
RNAcentral lists this transfer RNA (63 nucleotides) under Marmota marmota marmota (Alpine marmot). It matches the Rfam family "tRNA". From Rfam's summary of the family: Transfer RNA (tRNA) molecules are approximately 80 nucleotides in length. Their secondary structure includes four short double-helical elements and three loops (D, anti-codon, and T loops). The record is from Rfam by way of RNAcentral. RNAcentral also lists the same sequence under 3 other names. Lineage: Eukaryota; Metazoa; Chordata; Mammalia; Rodentia; Sciuridae.